RNAcentral lists this ribosomal RNA (334 nucleotides) under Electrophorus voltai. RNAcentral's name for it is "partial 12S ribosomal RNA". It matches the Rfam family "Bacterial small subunit ribosomal RNA", at positions 847 to 1351 of the family's 1533-position model. The record is from RNAcentral. Lineage: Eukaryota; Metazoa; Chordata; Actinopteri; Gymnotiformes; Gymnotidae.
GCUUCUUUACAGUUCACAUCCGCCUGGGUACUACAAGCACAGCUUGAAACUCAAAGGACUUGGCGGUCUCUCAGAUCCAUCUAGAGGAGCCUGUUCUAGAACCGAUACUCCCCGUUUAACCUCACCACUCCUUGCUUCCCCAGCCUAUAUACCGCCGUCGUCAGCUUACCCUGUGAAGGUUAAAAAGUGAGCAAAAAGAGUAAACCCCAAAACGUCAGGCCAAGGUGUAGCAUAUGGAGCGGAUUGAAAUGGGCUACAUUUUCUAUUACAGAACAUUGCGAAUUACACAAUGAAACAUGUGUAUGAAGACGGAUUUAGUAGUAAAAAGCAAAUA